UCUCCUGGAAACGGGUGGUAAUGCCGGAUGCUCCGCCCCCUCGCAUGGGGGGUCGGGAAGGCUUUUGCGGAAUGGGAUGGGGUCGCGUCCUAUCAGCUUGUUGGCGGGGCGACGGCCCACCAAGGCUUCGACGGGUAGCCGGCCUGAGAGGGCGACCGGCCACAUUGGGACUGAGAUACGGCCCAGACUCCUACGGGAGGCAGCAGUGGGGAAUAUUGCACAAUGGGGGGAACCCUGAUGCAGCGACGCCGCGUGCGGGAUGGAGGCCUCCGGGUCGUGAACCGCUUUUGAUUGGGAGCAAGCGUGAGUGAGUGUACCUUUCGAAUAAGCACCGGCUAACUACGUGCCAGCAGCCGCGGUAAUACGUAGGGUGCAAGCGUUGUCCGGAAUCAUUGGGCGUAAAGGGCUCGUAGGCGGUUCGUCGCGUCCGGUGUGAAAGCCCAUCGCUUAACGGUGGGUCUGCGCCGGGUACGGGCGGGCUUGAGUGCGGCAGGGGAGGCUGGAAUUCCCGGUGUAACGGUGGAAUGUGUAGAUAUCGGGAAGAACACC
RNAcentral lists this ribosomal RNA (549 nucleotides) under uncultured Bifidobacterium sp. RNAcentral describes it as "bacterial SSU rRNA". It matches the Rfam family "Bacterial small subunit ribosomal RNA", at positions 146 to 710 of the family's 1533-position model. Lineage: Bacteria; Bacillati; Actinomycetota; Actinomycetes; Bifidobacteriales; Bifidobacteriaceae. The record is from RNAcentral.